Molecule: long non-coding RNA, 301 nt
Filed under: Physcomitrium patens
Lineage: Eukaryota; Viridiplantae; Streptophyta; Bryopsida; Funariales; Funariaceae
Description: long non-coding RNA (PPAT_LNC003013)
Source: RNAcentral
UUUCACUUGCAGAAACUGGAGUAACUUGUGCGGCUGGAGUUGCAUGUAUGAAAGUCUUGGAAACCAUGGGAAAAGUCUGAAUAAUUGCUCGGUUGCAGCAGACUUUGCAAAAAAGAUGAAGUGGGGUCCUUUGAAGGGUUUGGAUAUCUGUGGAGGUUUUGGUGUGUCUGUGGGGGGAGAACUAAUGUUGGUGAAAAAUUCUGAAGUUGUUUCUUUCCUUUUAGAAACUCUACAAGGAAAUUUUGAUUUUAUGCAGAUCCCCAUGGGUACAAAUUUGCAAGGUUUUUCAAAAAACUUAUCA